RNAcentral lists this long non-coding RNA (1180 nucleotides) under Numida meleagris (helmeted guineafowl). RNAcentral describes it as "lncRNA (ENSNMEG00000004589.1)". Lineage: Eukaryota; Metazoa; Chordata; Aves; Galliformes; Numididae. The record is from RNAcentral.
UGGACUUCAGGAGAGCUAACUUUGACCUCUUCAAAGACCUACUUGGUGAUAUCCCUUGGGCUAGAGCAUAGGAAAGUAAGAGAGCUGGUCAACACUUAAAUAUUAUUUCUUCCAAGCUCAAGAUCAGUGCAUCCCUAAGAGUAUGAAAUCAGGGGUAGGUGGCAGGAGACUUGCAUAGAUGAGCAAGGAGCUCAUGGAUAAAUGCAAAGGGAAGAAGGUCCACAAAAUGUGGAAAAAGGGCCUAUCCACUUGGGAAGAAUAUAGGAAUGUUGUCAGGGCCUUGUAGGGAUGCAAUAAGGAAGACUAAGGCACACUUGGAAUUAAAACUGGCAAAGGAGGCCAAGGAUAACAAGAAAUGUUUUUUUAACUAUGUCAGCAGAGAAAGGAAGACUAGGGAAAAUGUGGGUCUGCUACCAAAUAAGGUGGGUGUCCUGGUAACGGGUUGGGAUGCUGGGAAGACAGAGAUACUGAAUGCCUUCUUUGCUUCAGUCUUUACUACUAAGGCUGCCCCUUGGGAAUCCCAGACCUUGGAGGUAAGAGAGAGAGUCUGGGGAAUGGAAGACUUCCCCUUGGUCAAGGUGGAUCUGAUCAGAGUGUGUCUAGCCAAAAUAAAUCCCAGGUUGGCUAUGAGCCAGCAGUGUGCCCUUGUGGCCAAGAAGGCCAAUGAGACCUGGGGUGUAUUAAAAAAGAGUGUGGCCAGCAGGGCGAGGGAGAUGAUCCUCCCCCUCUACUCUGCCCUGGUGAGGCCGCAUCUAGAGUACUGCGUCCAUUUCUGGGCUCCCCAGUUCAGAACAGACAGGUAUCUCCUAGAAGGAGUCCAGUGGAGGUCCACAGAGAUGAUAAAGGGCCUGGAGCAUCUCCUAAAUGAGGAAAGACUGAGUAACCUGGGUCUGUUCAGCCUGGGUAAAAGAAGACUGAGGACGGAUCUGGUACAUGUUUAUAAAUAUUUGAAGGGAGGUGGGAGGCAAAUGGAUGAGGCCAGACUCUUCUCAUGGAUUCGUGGCGAUAGGACAAGGAGCAAUGGCCUAAAACUUGAACAUAGGAAGUUCCAUACAGACACGUGGAAGAACUUCUUUAUGGUAAGGGUGACAGAGCACUGGAACAGGCUGCACAGAGAGAUUGUGGUGUCUCCUGCUAUGGAAAUAUUUGAGACCCAUCUGGAUGCUGACCUGUGCAACUU